UUGAGUGCAGAAGAGGAGAGUGGAACUCCAUGUGUAGCGGUGGAAUGCGUAGAUAUAUGGAAGAACACCAGUGGCGAAGGCGGCUCUCUGGUCUGCAACUGACGCUGAGGCUCGAAAGCAUGGGUAGCGAACAGGAUUAGAUACCCUGGUAGUCCAUGCCGUAAACGAUGAGUGCUAAGUGUUGGGAGGUUUCCGCCUCUCAGUGCUGCAGCUAACGCAUUAAGCACUCCGCCUGGGGAGUACGACCGCAAGGUUGAAACUCAAAGGAAUUGACGGGGGCCCGCACAAGCGGUGGAGCAUGUGGUUUAAUUCGAAGCAACGCGAAGAACCUUACCAGGUCUUGACAUCUAGUGCCAUUUGUAGAGAUACAAAGUUCCCUUCGGGGACGCUAAGACAGGUGGUGCAUGGCUGUCGUCAGCUCGUGUCGUG
RNAcentral lists this ribosomal RNA (429 nucleotides) under Lactobacillus crispatus. RNAcentral describes it as "bacterial SSU rRNA". It matches the Rfam family "Bacterial small subunit ribosomal RNA", at positions 642 to 1069 of the family's 1533-position model. Lineage: Bacteria; Bacillati; Bacillota; Bacilli; Lactobacillales; Lactobacillaceae. The record is from RNAcentral.